GAGCUGGGUUCUGGAGAGACAGGGAAGCCCCCUGAGAAAAUGUGGCUCUGAUGUUUCUGAGAACCCAGAAUACAGGAGCUGCAGAGGGGGAGGGCUUGGUUCACCCCACAUGUCCCACCCCAUUUGGGCUCACCCCACACAUCCCACCCAUCCCAGUGAGGUGGUGGUGGUCAGCCACCUGUUUGUGUUCACGUCUGGGGUCACCGUAAGCCAGGCAGGAUCCAGACCUUCCACUGUGACUCUGACCCUCACCCACCAAAUCUUAGCCCUCUGUACAAGGUGUUUAAGGGGCCCCAGGGGGCCUGGGGGCCCAGUGAGCAGCCCCCCAACAGGGAGGGACAGGCUUGUGGUGCCAGGCUCUGGUAAACCAGGGCCUGCAGGAGCCAUGGGUACUUUCCUGAUGCAAAGAGGAAGGAAAAGGAAGGGAGCGGAGCCCCGCCUGGGCCGCAGGGCAGUGCACUCCUCAGCCGGCUUCCUCUGGUCACGCCCGCGGGGCCGCAGCACUGUGUGAGGGGUGGGGCCCUGGCACCUAGCUUGGGCACGUGCCCUCCUAGCCGGACCUCCCACAGGCAGGGGCUCUGCUCCCGCCUGCCUCUGCCAGCCCACUAGUGCUCACUGUUCCCUAGGUGUGUUUGUCAAAGUGUCUCUGAUGAACCACAACAAGUUUGUCAAGUGCAAGAAGACUUCAGCUGUGCUGGGCUCCAUCAACCCUGUGUACAAUGAGACCUUCAGCUUCAAGGCCGAUGCCACCAAGCUGGAUACCGCUAGCCUCAGCCUGACCGCGGUGCAGAACAUGGAAGGGGACACAGUUUAAGUAUAGUGUGCCUGGGCCGGGUGCGGUGGCUCACGCCUAUAAUCCCAGCACUUUGGGAGGCCAAGGCCAGUGGAUCACCUGAGGUCAGGAAUUCGGGACCAACCUGGCCAACAUGUGAAACCCCAUCUCCACUAAAAAAUCCAAAAAUUAGCCAGGCAUGGUGGUGCGUGCCUGUAAUCCCAGCUAUUCAGGAGACUGAGGCAGGAGAAUCGCUGGACCUUGGGGAGGCGGAGGUUGCAGUGAGCUGAGAUCGCACACUACCGUACUCCAGCCUGGGUGACAAAGAAAAACUCCGUCUCAAAAAAUAAUAAUAAUAAAAAAGUAUAGUGUGCCUGGAUGCAGUUUUGUUUUUAUUUAUCCUGCUUGGGGAUCAUAAAGCUUUAUCAGUUUUGGAAAGUUCUCAGCCUAUAUUUAUUUAACUGUUCCUUCUGCCCCAUCUUCCUCCCUUCUUCUAAGACUCCAGUUACGUAUGUAUUAGGCCUGUUCACCACUUCCCACAAGUAUCUUAUGUUCUUUGCUGUAUUUUCCAUACUCUUUGUCUCUGUUUUUCAGCUUAGAGUUUUUAUUCUGUCCUGUAUUACAGUUCAAAGAAUGUUCC
This 1412-nucleotide long non-coding RNA is filed under the name Homo sapiens (human). RNAcentral describes it as "non-protein coding NUTM2A-AS1:26". The record is from RNAcentral. Lineage: Eukaryota; Metazoa; Chordata; Mammalia; Primates; Hominidae.